This 347-nucleotide ribosomal RNA is filed under the name uncultured bacterium. Its description in RNAcentral is "partial 16S ribosomal RNA". It matches the Rfam family "Bacterial small subunit ribosomal RNA", at positions 338 to 682 of the family's 1533-position model. The record is from RNAcentral.
CCUACGGGGGGCAGCAGUGAGGAAUAUUGGUCAAUGGGCGCGAGCCUGAACCAGCCAAGUCGCGUGAGGGAAGACGGUCCUAUGGAUUGUAAACCUCUUUUGUCGGGGAGCAAAAGACGCCACGCGUGGCGUUCCGAGAGUACCCGAAGAAAAAGCAUCGGCUAACUCCGUGCCAGCAGCCGCGGUAAUACGGAGGAUGCGAGGGUUAUCCGGAUUUCUUGGGUUGAACGGGUGCGCAGGCGGUCGGAUAAGUUAGAGGUGAAAUCCCUAGGCUCCCCGUCGGAAUUGCCUCUGAUACUGUUCGGCUAGAGCGUAGUUGCGGUAGGCGGAAUGUUUUGUGUAGCUGU